This 72-nucleotide transfer RNA is filed under the name Camelus bactrianus (Bactrian camel). It matches the Rfam family "tRNA". From Rfam's summary of the family: Transfer RNA (tRNA) molecules are approximately 80 nucleotides in length. Their secondary structure includes four short double-helical elements and three loops (D, anti-codon, and T loops). Further hydrogen bonds mediate the characteristic L-shaped molecular structure. tRNAs have two regions of fundamental functional importance: the anti-codon, which is responsible for specific mRNA codon recognition, and the 3' end, to which the tRNAs corresponding amino acid is attached (by aminoacyl-tRNA synthetases). tRNAs cope with the degeneracy of the genetic code in two manners: having more than one tRNA (with a specific anti-codon) for a particular amino acid; and 'wobble' base-pairing, i.e. permitting non-standard base-pairing at the 3rd anti-codon position. Lineage: Eukaryota; Metazoa; Chordata; Mammalia; Artiodactyla; Camelidae. The record is from Rfam by way of RNAcentral. RNAcentral also lists the same sequence under 2 other names.
GAGGGUAUAGCUCAGUGGUAGAGCGCGUGCUUAGCAUGCACGAGGUCCUGGGUUCAAUCCCCAGUACUUCCA